This 63-nucleotide transfer RNA is filed under the name Platynereis bicanaliculata. RNAcentral's name for it is "tRNA-Lys". The record is from RNAcentral. Lineage: Eukaryota; Metazoa; Annelida; Polychaeta; Phyllodocida; Nereididae.
UUCUUAGAAGCUUGCAAUAGCAGUGAAUUUUUACUUCAUUAACAGGGGCCCCCCCCUAAGGAA